GGUAUGUACUGGUCUCACUGAUUCCUCCCUCUUGACGAACUGUAAUGUCAUUAAUUUGGUGUUGCGGGAAAUCAGGACUGUUACUUUGAAAAAAUUAGAGUGUUUAAAGCAGGCUAAGGCUUGAAUACAUUAGCAUGGAAUAAUGAAAUAGGACGUUUGAUCCUAUUUUGUUGGUUUCUAGGAUUGACGUAAUGAUUAAUAGGGAUAGUUGGGGGCAUUAGUAUUCAAUUGUCAGAGGUGAAAUUCUUGGAUUUAUUGAAGACUAACUACUGCGAAAGCAUUUGCCAAGGAUGUUUUCAUUAAUCAAGAACGAAAGUUAGGGGAUCGAAGACGAUCAGAUACCGUCGUAGUCUUAACCAUAAACUAUGCCGACUAGGGAUCGGAUGAUGUUAAUUUUUUAAUGACUCAUUCGGCGCCUUACG
RNAcentral lists this ribosomal RNA (422 nucleotides) under uncultured Glomeromycotina. RNAcentral's name for it is "SSU rRNA". It matches the Rfam family "Eukaryotic small subunit ribosomal RNA", at positions 672 to 1092 of the family's 1831-position model. The record is from RNAcentral. Lineage: Eukaryota; Fungi; Glomeromycota.